RNAcentral lists this long non-coding RNA (1338 nucleotides) under Homo sapiens (human). Its description in RNAcentral is "long independently transcribed non-coding RNA 3064, transcript variant 5 (LINC03064)". The record is from RNAcentral. Lineage: Eukaryota; Metazoa; Chordata; Mammalia; Primates; Hominidae.
GAAUCUCACAACAUAUGUUUGGAUAGCACUUCCCAGCCUACAACGCACUUUCUCAGGGAUUCUCAAACUUCCUCCCACCUCACAUCCUUUUAAGAGUGUUGCUGGAGAUGGCCACUGGAGAGGCUGAGUCAAAUCAAUCUCCUCACCUGAGGACUUCCUAAGACCAGCGCACUGAAGGACCAGCAGCAACAACAACAAUAAUGCUAAUGCUCCCUUAUGGACAAGACUGCAAUUCUCUGCCUGCUGAAGCUCAGCUAUGACCACGUGACUUGCCUUGGCCAAUGAAAGAGGAAGAGUAUGUAACACUGCUGAAUGGAAGCAAGUGGCCCCUGCCCCUGCUGCAGAGAUUCUAGACAUGUGUGCCAUGCUGGAGCAAGGAGACAGGGAGUCCUGGAGAAAGGAGACAUGGAACAGAGCUCCCAGCCCAGUCAAUAUGUAACAUGAGUGAGAAAUAAAUAACACUUUGUUGCUAGAAGUUUUUUUUAAACUGAAGUAUAACUCAGCUUCCCCUGACCCAUGCAGAAAGUCAUCUAUCAAUGUUAAGUAUCACUAAAUUUAUUUUACAGAAGAAGAAUCUAAAGCUCAGAGUAGUGGUCUCAAUAUCACUCAGCAAUUAUGUGAUGGAAGCAUACUGAAGGCCCACGUUUUAAAGUGGACACCAAGGGGAAUAUAGCAUAAAUAGAAAUUUUCUAACUGCAGGGAAUUCUUGCUAUACAACUGCAAAGAAUAGGCCCCACUACUUCCUAGCUGUGCCUCAAUUUCCUGAUCAGUUAAAUGGGACUAAUAAAAGAGCAGCUAGUGGCUGGGUGCGGUGGCUCACGCCUGUAAUCCCAGCACUUUGGGAGGCCGAGGCGGGCAGAUCAAGAGGUCAGGAGAUCGAGACCACAGUGAAACCCCGUCUCUACUAAAAAUACAAAAAAUUAGCUGUGCGCAGUGGCGGGUGCCUGUAGUCCCAGCUACUCGGGAGGCUGAGGUAGGAGAAUGUCGUUAACUCGGAAGGCGGAGCUUGCAGUGAGCCGAGAUCGCGCCACUGCACUCCAGUCUGGGCGACAGAGGGAGACUCUGUCUCAAAAAAAACGACAACAACAAAAAAAAAAAAAAAAAAAAAAAAGAAAGAGUAGCUAGUGCAAGAGAUGGAGAAGGGAUUAAAUGAAAAUACAUGUAAAUUGCUCAUAAGAUUAUCUAGAAUAAACCGAACAUUCAAAAAUGUUAGUUACUAUUAUUAUUAACAAUUGCUAUUAUAAUCCUAAUAUCACCUGUUUCUCAUCAGUCGGUGGAUACAAGCAAUUACAUUUACAUAAAUAUGUAAAGCAAUAAAGCCAAACCAGAGACUCCUAA